ACAUACGACCACAGGGUGUGGAGAACAGGGCUUCCCGUCCGCUCAGCCGUACUUAAGCCACACGCCGGUAAGUUAGUAGUUAGGUGGGUGACCACUAGCGAAUCCUUACUGUUGU
RNAcentral lists this ribosomal RNA (115 nucleotides) under Penicillium arizonense. Lineage: Eukaryota; Fungi; Ascomycota; Eurotiomycetes; Eurotiales; Aspergillaceae. The record is from RNAcentral.